Molecule: RNA transcript, 932 nt
Organism: Cercocebus atys (sooty mangabey)
Lineage: Eukaryota; Metazoa; Chordata; Mammalia; Primates; Cercopithecidae
Exons: 1
Source: RefSeq, a predicted model, not a curated record
AUGAGCAUCCUAAGGCAUGCUGGGAUAGGGUCAGAGGCACCACCCAUGGAGAGGUUUGUCAACACAAAGACGUGGAAGGUUAGAGGUUUGUCAACACAAAGACACAGGAAGAAUGGGCAGCAGAAGAUUUAGAUGUUUUCCAUUUGGGCACAUUUAACUUAGCUGGAUAACUUGGUUUAAAACAGCCUGGGUAGGAAAAUUAGAAGCAAGCUGGGUGCAGUGGCUAAUGCCUGUAAUCCCAACACUUUUGGGAGGUCCAGGCAGGAGGAUCGCUUGGGCCCAGGAGGUCAAGCCUGCAGUGAGCUGAGAUCACCACUGCACUCCAGCCUAGGGUGACAGAACAAGACCCUGUCUCAAAAAAAAAAAAAAAAAAAUAGAAGCAGAAUUGAGGAGCUGUACCUCAUUGGCUUCCUGACUCCAAAAUAGGUGCUGAUCCUUCCUAUUUGCCGCCUAAAGUUUGUGUGUGGUGUCACCAGCCUGUUUAGCCAAAUGGCUUUGGGCCCAGGCUGCCCAAUCUGAGCAAACACCAGUGAGGCUCUAUCGAGCCAAGACCAGGUCCUCAAAGCACCUGAACCACUGUGGCCUUCUCAGCCUACAGCACGGUGGUCUUUCACAUGGCCACAAAGGGACACACAGUGACAAAAGGCUCAGAAUGUUACAGUGGUAAAAUGAGUGAUCUCAAAUCUACUGACAGACGUAAAAUAGGCUUAGAGAGGAAAAGCUGCCUCUGGUCAAAUAGAUCAUGGCAGAACGAAUUCCAACUCACGUUUUUACAACUCCAACUCCUAUGUUUAUCUUGGUUCAUUUUUUUUACAACCUGGCCAGAGGCAUUUUUUUAAAUCAGGCCCAAUAUCAGUAUCCUUUUUGUGUGUGCCAAUUUUGUUAUCAUAUCCCUGUGAAGUUGAAAAAUAAAGUUAAUUUUGACCAAAAGA